RNAcentral lists this ribosomal RNA (237 nucleotides) under uncultured bacterium. RNAcentral describes it as "partial 16S ribosomal RNA". It matches the Rfam family "Bacterial small subunit ribosomal RNA", at positions 15 to 248 of the family's 1533-position model. The record is from RNAcentral.
GAUCCUGGCUCAGGAUGAACGCUAGCGACAGGCUUAACACAUGCAAGUUGAGGGGCAGCAUGAGGUAGCAAUACCUUGAUGGCGACCGGCGCACGGGCGAGUAACGCGUAUGCAACCUGCCCGAUACCGGGGUAUAGCCCAUGGAAACGUGGAUUAACACCCCAUAGUACUUUUAUCCUGCAUGGGAUGUGAGUUAAAUGUUCAAGGUAUCGGAUGGGCAUGCGUCCUAUUAGUUAG